GGUAGAAUGGUCAGUACCUAAGACUUGCAGGUCAGCCGCAAGCGUCGAGGUGAGCUUCCACCAUUGACGAUUUAAUUAAUAGGCUUGAGACCCAUCCCCCUUGAGGUCUUUAUAACCAAGUCCUUUUUCAGACCUUUAGUAAACGGAUUCGCUAAAUUUUCACUAGACCUCACAUAACUUAUAGUGACUAUACCGUCAUUAAUCCUUUACCUUACAAUGCUGUGUCGAAGUCCAAUAUAUCGACUAUUUCCAUUGUAAGCUUGAUUAUAUGCCUUUGAUACAGUUACUUCAUUAUCGCAACGUAUCAAGAUUGGUGCCAUUGGCUUAGGCCACAGCGAAAUUUUAUAAAGUAAGUCUUUCAACCAUUCCACUUCUUGGGUGGCAGAUGUUAAGGCUAUAAAUUUAGCCGCCAUGGUGGAGUCCGCUUGACAAGACUGUUUUUUAGAACCCCAAGAAACAGCACCCCCACCAAGUGUAAAAAUCUAUCCAGUCAUGGAUGUGUAAUUCAGUCUAUUUGAGUUUCAACUGGCAUCUGUAUACCUUUCUAGAACCGAAGAAAAACCUGAAUAGCAGAUGCCAUAAUUUUCUGUACUCUUUAAGUACCUUAGAACUCUAUGAACAACAUACCAAUACUGUUUACUCGAAUUACUAGUAAACCAACUUAGCAUCCCAACCGCAAAUGUAAUAUCCGGCUUUGUACAGAUCAUUGCAUACAUAAGGCAUCCAAUCACCCUUACAUAUUCAUUUUGUGUUAUUGGCUUGUCUUAAUUGGCUACUAGCCUUAGAUUAGAAUCAUAAGGCAUAUUCAUGGGCAUACAAUAUGACUUUCCAUACUUCAUUACAAUCUUUUUGACGUAAUGAGAUUGAAACAAUGUUAGGCCACUAUUGUCUCUUAUUAUUCUUAUACCAAGAAUAACAUCUGUCAUGCCCAUAUUUUUCAUGUCAAAAUUCAUUGAUAAGAACCUUUUUGUGUUUUUCACUUGUUCCAAAUCGGUACCGAAUAGUAACAUGUCAUCCACAUAUAAGCAAAUGAUGACACCUCUACCGUUAUGGAACUUACUAUAGACACACUUGUCAGAUUGAUUGAUCUUGUAGCCAUUAGCUAGCACAACCUCAUCCAACUUUUGAUGCCAUUGUUUAGGUGCUUGUUUUAAUCCAUACAAGGAUUUUACAAGCUUACACACUUUCCUUUCUUGACCAGGAAAGACAACCCUUUGGGUUGUUCCAUAUACACCUUUUCAUCUAAGUCACCAUUUAGGAAUGCUGUCUUAACAUUCAUUUGGUGAAUUACCAUCUUAUAUAUAGAUGAAAGUGUCAUAAGCACUCUAAUUGUAGCUAUUCUUGCUACCGGUACAUAUGUAUCAAAAUAAUCAACACCUUCAUUUUGUUUAAAGCCUUUUGCCACUAGCCUUGCUUUAAACUUUUUCACGGUUCCAUCAACUUUUAUUUUCUUUUUGAAAAUCCACUUACAGCCUAUUGGCUUGGAACCUGGUGGAAGGUUUAUCAAUUUCCAUGUUUUGUUUCCCAUUAUUGAGGCCAUCUCAUCUUGUAUUGCUUCUCUUUAAAAGGAAGCAUCCCAAGACUUCAUUGCCUCUUCAUAAGUUUGAGGAUCACCUUUACCUUCUACAUUAAAGCAGUAAGGUAGGUAUUCACAUGUUUCCUCCCUUGUACCUUUUACUAAGUAUAUGAGAAAAUCGGCUCCAUAUUUCUUUGCUUUUCUAAUUUUUUUACUCCUCCGAAGCUCGAUAGUUUUCUCAUAAUUUUCUAAGAAACUAUCACUUUUUGUUAUUUGUUCCUUGGGUCUUGGAAUUGAGCUAAACCUUGUUUCAUCAAAGAUAGCAUCCUUUGAUUCUAUGACCGUAUUUACGAAAUAUGAAUCAUUAGGCUCUAUUACCAUGAAACGAUAUGCUUUACUAUGUUCAACAUAUCCUAUGAAUAUGCAUUCAAUUUUUUUUCACCCAAUUUUCUUUUCUUUGGCUCCGAAACCCUUACUAUGGCUCGACAUCCCUAAACUUUUAAAUAAUUAAGGUUCGACUUUUGUCUUUUUCAUAGUUCAUAAGGAGUAGUUUUACUCCUUUUAUUUGGGAUUCUAUUUAAUAUAUGGCAAGCCGUUAAUAAAGCUUUGUCCUAAAAUCUUUUUCCCAAACCCGAAUUAGAAAGCAAAACAUUGACCAUUUCUGUAAGAACUCGAUUCUUACGUUCCGCUACACCAUUUUGUUCCGAUGUGUAUGGAGUGGUAGUUUAGUGUAUAAUUCCAGUGGAUUCAAAAUACUUGGGAUCAUAAUAUUCACUUCCUCUAUCACUUCGUAAACAUUUAACAAACAAUUCACAAGACAAUUCAACUUCUCUUUUAUAAAUUCUAAAUUUCUCUAUUGUUUCAUUUUUAGCAUGCAAUAAGUAAACAUAGCAAUAUCUAGAGAAGUCAUCAAUAAAUGUUACAAAGUAUUUCUUUCCACCAAUAGAAAGAGUACUAUGCAUGUCACAAACAUCAGAAUGUAUUAAUUCAAGCAAUUUAGUGCUUCUUUCUACCUUAGGAAAUGAACUUCUCGCGAUUUUAGUGGCCAUGCAUGUCUUGCACAUAUCAUUACUUUCAUCAAUGUUGGGUAUUAAUUCUAAGUUAGCCAUAUCAUGCAUUCUUCUAUUGUGAACAUGACCUAAUCUAUUAUGCCAUAGAUUAGUUAGGAUUGCUUCACUGUCAUGAACAUGAAACGAUGCAUCAAUAUAAGCAGAAUUAGCAAUACUUUUAUUGACAUUAAGCUUAAACAUGUUUUCACAAUAAUAUCAGCUUCCCACAUAUUGUCCACCUAUUGUAAAGAUGAACUUAUCUGCUUCAAAUAUUAAUUUGAAGCUAUACUUAUUCAACAAGUCACCUGACACAAGGUUUUUUUUUUACUUCUGGUACAUAAAAGACAUUAUUUAGUACAAGUGUCUUUCCAGAAGUAAACACAAGUUCCAUGGUGCCUUUUCCUUUCACUUGUGUAGUGGAGGAAUUUCCCAUGUAUAGCAUGUUUCCAUCAUCAACUUCUUCCAAAGUCUUGAAGAAACUUUUGUCGUUGCAUACAUGAUUAGUUGCAUCAGUAUCAAUCCACCAUGCUCCAUAAUCUUGGAGAAGAUUGACCUCGAAAACCACAGCCACAAACUUGUGAUUGUUCACACCUUGUGUCUUACUUUUCAAAAGUCUACAUUCUGCCUUAAAGUGACCAAGUUUGUUACAAUAAAAACAUGGCCAUUUUCUGUUCCUUUUGAACUUAAGACUUUUGUCUUUCAUACCUGCGGAAUGUCUUCUUUUGACCGGCUUGUUUGAUGGUUUGUUUUCCAUCACAUAGACCUUUGAAGUCUUAAGAUUCUUCUCAUGAGAAUCUUUUUCUUUUUCAUCUUGCUACAUCUUCUUGUUUCCAAUAAUCUUCUUCUAUUCGAAGAUGAUUACCAAGGUCCUCGAGAGACAUGUCCUCCUUUUUAUGUUUAAGGAAUUUUUUUGUGUCACUCCAUGAAUGGGGAAACUUAUCAAUUAUUGAAGAAACCACAAUAGCUUCAUCCAUUUUAAGAACAUAUCGCUUAAAGCUAUUGAGAAUGAGUUCAAGCUCAUGCAAUUGCUCCAUAACAAAACGAUUAUCAAUCAUUUUAAAGUUAUUGAAAUGACUAACCAGGAAUUUCUUAUUGCUUGCAUCUUUUGCCAUGUAUUAUGCUUCCAACUUGUCCCAAAGUUGCUUUGCACUAGCCUCGUUAUUGUACGCAUUGAACAAUGCAUCCCACAUUCCAUUAAGAAUGUGUCCCAUGCAUAUGUAGUCAUCAUUAUCCCAUUUUUACUUCAAACGAGUUCUUUCCACGGAUUCUUCACCAUCUUCCUCAUUCGAUCGUGGUGUUUCUAGAACAUAUGCAACCUUGAGUGUCGUGAGGAAGAAGCGCAUCUUUUUCUGCCAUCGAAUAAAGUCUCAUCCAUCAAAACGAUCUAACUUGACAAAGUUGGUAGCCAUCUCCUUAAGUGAAGCCAUUUUGAAUACUACGAAGAUAAGUCUUAAAACUGUUGGUGUUUAUGGGGGGUUUUUGAUACGGUAUUCAAGAAUAGGCAAAAUUGGCUUCAAGGUGAGCCUUUCAAAUAGACGUCUAUCUUUAAGACUUAUUUCACUCCCACCACUCUGUAUGCAAAGGGGAAUAACGUGAAUAGUCUCAAGGAUACAAUGAAGCCAACGUUUAACUUUCGUAUCGCACUUACGAAGAAGACCGCUAGAUACACCUUAGGGUUUGCAAAGUUGUUGGGCCUUAUAACCAACUUUCUGCAGCAAGUAGAUGAUAAGGAAUUCAGAAUAUCUUUAAGAUGGUGGGAACUCUAGUGUUUAUGUUUGUAAUAAAACACUUUCUUGCUUUUGCUCUUUACACUUUUGGUAUCUUUGGUAUGUUUUGGUGUUGGUGUUUUUUGUUUUUUCUAAAAUGGUUGAUACCAAGCCUUUUAUAUAGGCUUCCAAGUGUCUAUUCUUGAAGGACACAACCUUUUUGUCUAGAAAGUAUCUUUAUGAUUUUUGCCAACAUAACUUUAGAUGUAGUUAUUGUUUCAAUAGUCAUCUUAUGAAUAGAUAACUAUUUAUCCCACAAGUUAUAACCUUUGAGUUAUAUCUUGAAACAAUAACUAUUCACUUUAACUUUUGAGCAAUGGUAUCUUUUCAAUCAUGUCUCUUAACUUUUGGAUAUGAACUUCCAAGAGAUAUAACCAUUCACAUGAAAACAUGUCUAUAUCUAAUAGACACAUUAUGUCACUUUUCGCAACAUAACUUUUGAGCUAAUGAUAGCUUUUCCAUCAUGUGAAAUAUCCUUUAAUUUUGAAAAUACACCAACAUGACUCUAGGCUUGGGCGCUAACAGUUAGUAUCAUGGUAAACCUAUUGAACAAUGGAUAGCGAGGAUUACCUCGUCUUAGGAUCUAGUCACCUUUUACUCAGAAACCUAAAACAUGAAGUUUAAAAACGUGAGUAUAAACCUAGUAAGUGAAUAUAAGAAGUGAACAAGCAAACAGUAUAAAAAGUUUAGAAAACAUGAUGCACUUAUUUUAAAAAUAAUGCAAUUUAGUUUAAUUUCUUGUUAAAACCCCAUAAUUUAGCCUUUGAUUAUUUAAUCUUUUAAUGUUGAAAAAAAUCCAUGAUCAACCAUGAAGUUGGAAGGUGAAAAUUACUGUAAAUAUCCACACAAAAUAAAAGUUUCUUGUCGCGGCGAAAAUGGAAUUUUGCUGCAGUGAGAAUAGUGUCUGCCACACCUGAAAAUUUCUCGUCGCAGUGAAAAUGAAAUUUCGCUGCAGCGAAAUACAGGGCAAGUGGAAUUAUGGGGAUUUUUGCUGUAUUAAAAUCUGUUCCUGAUGCAACGAAAAUCAAAUUGAACACAUUUGACAAUAAUCAAUCUUUCAACAUUCAAUACAAGCAUAUAUUAUUUUCAUAACCUUUUCUAUAGCAUAUAAAAACAUAUUUAUAGCAUAUAUAUACAAGCAUGUAUAUAAUCACCACCUGACCUAGUUCAUGUGCACUUCGCACAUCACAUAGCAAGAGUUAUUGUGUGCGCCCCCACAUUACGCACAACUAAUGCCAUCAUGUGCUCCCCCCACAUCGCACACAUGGCAUAUAUCAUCAUCAUCGUGUGCAUCCUCACAUUGCUCACAACUAAUGCCAUCAUGUGCUCCCCCCACAUCGCGCACAUAGGCAAUCUCAUCAUCCACACUCCCUCACCCCAUUAUCACUGGCAUGUGCACUCCCACACCGCACAUGCACGGUCAUAAUUAUCAACACACAACAUAUAUAUAUAUAUAUAUGUAUAUAUAUAUAUAUACACACACUAACAUAAUACAAUAGCACAUGGAUUCGUCACAGUCACAUUUCACAACAUAGAAACAUUUCAUCAAGGGCUUGUUCCCAUGCAUGUUUUUUAAGAAAAGAAAAAUAAAUUCUUUCAUGUGAUUCAUUCAACACACAUGCCGAUAUCCCAAAACAUUUAAAUGCAAGUUCACUCACCAGUCCUUGUUGAUGCUUUGAUCGAUUAUAACUUCGACCAAUGCUCUGAAUGGAGAUGUGAGAUUUUGUUGGAACCUAUCACAUCCAAUAGCAUCUCAAUCACCCAAAUUGGCAUUAAUAUAAUUUCAAAAGCUAUUUCCUAACUCAAGUUCAACUAGUUAUUCCUAACGAGUUUCCAAUCACCAUUAAGUGGCUAUUUAUUUCACUACUUUAGUCACCCUAAAAAUGAAUAAAUAACCUCAACAAUAAAACACUCACAAAUCCCGCUGUUAGCCAUUAUCAACAUCUUAAAAAUAAAUCCUAACUUAUUACUCACCUUAGGGUUUCUUUGUAGUUGAAUUCUUUUUCAAAAGCUUUCAAACUAUUGUAGGAAAUCUCUCUCUCUCUCUCUCUCUCUCUCUCUCUCUUUUUAGAAUGUCUAGCUAGUGAGAGAAAGUAUUAAGGAAAGGCUUUUGAGGGUUCUUAAUGUGUAGAAGUGGAAGAGCAUGAAACACCCUAUAAAAGAAUGGGCAAAAGCAUGAAACUUGGACUUUCUAUGAAAGAUUUAUAGAGGAUUCAAGGUUUCUUUUCAUGGAAAAUGAAGAAAAACAUGAAAUGGAAAGAAAGAAUGGGACGAAGAAAAAGGAGCUGCUGGAAGUUGCUGGAACUUAGAUAUUUAUGCUACAAAUUAAUCCAAAUUUCACUUAAUUUACCAAAAUGCCCUUAAUAUGGUGGCUUUGUCUUCCUCCCAUCCUUUUGCAACCUUUUACUCUUUUGACAUUGAGACAAAGUCCAUAAUAGUCUAAAAAUACUCAAGUUCACGAAAACAUAAAAAUUUAGACCCGAUAUGCAAAAUGACCAUUUUACCCCUAUUAUGAAAAUUAUCAGUGUUUCUAUCUUCUUCAUUUAUUUUACCAUCAUUCAUUUAUUCCUUAGGCUCACUUAGACCUUAAUAACAUUAGAAAACUACUUCUAGGAGCUCACCAUGAGAAAUGACGAAAUUACUCUUGAUUCGUGUUAUCGCGUCUACUUCUAGUUACGAGUCUAUGGAGGUCGAGGUUUCACAAUACGAGGGUAUUGGGUGUCACACUAAAGUAAUCCCUUUUUACAAUAAUGAUAAUGGGAUGUGGAUAAAUUUAAAGCAAUUUUACCUAAAUUUAUGGUUAAAGAUAUAGUUGAUAUUCCCAUUGAAAAAUCUUGUGAUGAUGUAGCAUAUUGGGCUCUUUCUUCUAAUGAUGAAUUUUUUACUAAGAGUGUUUAGGAGAUAGUUCGGCAAAAACAUAUUGUAAGUAAUGCUUUUAACUUAGUUUGGCAUAAAAGCAUUUCACUUACAAUUUCAUUCUUUUUUUGGAGAGUUAUUCAUGGAUAGGUACUUGUUGAAGUGCACUUACAGUUUAAGGGUUUUCAAUUAGCAUCAAAAUACGAAUGUUGUAAUUUGGAGGAGACUUUGCUCCAUGUUCUUUGGCAAGGCCCAAUAGCAUGGUAGGUUUAGGACUUCUUUACUCAAAAUUUUCAAGUUUCUGUUAUUCAACCAUAGAACAUUAUGCAAGUUGUUUAGGUGUGGUAUUAUUUUGGUGACUAUAGAAAGUAAGGACACAUUAAAGUCAUGCUACCUAUCUUUAUAUGUUUUUUUUUCCUAUCUUUAUAUGUUGAUUUUUGUGGGUUGAAAAAAAUGGUGCUAAGCACAGGCAACUAGGAGUUUACCCUUAACUAAUUAUAUGACGCAUUAGGAAAUUGUUGAUACAACUUCACAAAAAGGACUUAACAAAAAAAUCACAAUGGAAAGGUGAUUUAGACAUUGCGAAAUUCUGGAAUAUUCACUUUUCAAAUUAGCAACCAAAACCACCCUAAAUAUUUAGAUAAUUGAAGCCAUGCUAGGAUGAAAUCAAGUUAAAUGUUGAUGGGAGCUCCAAGAAUCAAUUCCAACAUGCUGCAAGUGAAGGAGUUGUGCGUGAUCACAGAGGUAAGCUCAUUUUCGAUUUUCAGAGAAUAUUGGUCCUAAUAACUCUUUGAAAGCCAAGCUUCUUGCUCUUCAAAGAGGAUUAUCUUUAUGUCGAGAGUACAAUUUUUCCAAAUUUUGGAUUGAAAUGGAUGCCAUGAUGGUAGUGAAUAUGAUAUAGGAAAGUAGUUUAGGUUCUUAUGAUACUAGAUAUGAUUUAACUUCUAUUCGAAAUUGUUUGAAAAUUUUACCAAGCUAUAGAUUUCCUCUCCAAUCAAGGAUAUUCACAUGAAGGACAAGAAUGUUGAUGGUGAAUUAAGAGGUAUUUUAAAACUAGAUAAGAUUAAUCUAUCUUAUGUUAAAUUUAAAUAAAUGUAAAAGAGUAGUACUCCUUAUAUAUUUUUUAUCUUUAGCUUUUUGUAAAAGAGUAAUAUUACUUAUCCCAUGCACUCAUAGAGUAUAUGUAAAGAAAGUAGUACCUCGAUUAAGAUUUCUUUAACUUUGGAGAUAAAGUUCAUGUCCUCUUCCCCAAUAUACUUUUUUUUUUCCAUUUUUAAUGAAACUUUUACAAGUAGCUAGCCUUGAGAGAUUUUUCCAACUUAAAAAAAACCAUUUUAGAUAAGUAUUUUAAAACAAUAGUAAAUGUAAAAGAAAAUUAAUCAUUCCAAAAACUCAAGUACAUAAAAAAUUAAUAGUAAGUAACACAUUGCAUUCAUUCAAAUGCACUUAUAUUUCAUCAUUACGGGAUUCCCAACUACGAUAAAAAAAAUUCAACUAUAGUAAAGUUGAAAAUGUGAGCUCAUGAUAAGUAAUAUCAAAAUCUAUCUAACUCUUCAUGAGAUUCCCAUGAAAAAAUAUCAAGAUUCAAAUAAAUCUGGAUAAAAAUAGAUCUCUUUACUUUACGAGUGAAAAAGUUAGUACAACAAAAACAUUGUAUAAUUAAGUGAAUAAAAAUAUUACGGAUGAAUUUUAAACUACUUAAAUAGAAAUAUAUUUUGAGUUGAAAGCACGAGUUUGUGAUAUUUUAACCAUAUUAAAAAAAUAUUUAAAGAAAUAGGAAAUAAUCAUUAAAAAACUCAAGUACAUAGAAAAUGAAUAGUACAUAACACAUUGAGUUCUCAUAAUUGUACCUUAUCUAUGUGUAUUUCAUCAUUGCGAGAUUACCAACUACAAUACCAAAAAAAAAAAUCAACUGUGGCAAAGAUAUAUUGAGACAUGGUAAAAAAAUAAAUAAAUAAAAUCUGAGAUUACGUAUUUAUUUUAACUGGAGAUAGAUACAGGGAUAGAAAUGGUACAGAGUUGGAAAAAGUAGUUAAGGCCCAAAUGGGAAAAGCGUGGGAAUACGGCUUAUUAUGGGUCAGUCCUCAGGCUGUCCCUGCCGCAGACAGGACGCCAUCAUUUAUUUUCUUAAUAUUAUAAAGAAAGACUUCACUACGAGUCAGCCUCUUGUUCUGCUUUCUUUUUUAUCGCACUAUCAGAGCGUGCCUUUGACGCACCACGAAAAUGGUGGGGCGUGGAUGAAAUGUUAAGACGAGGUCGCGUAGAUUAACAUGUUUUCACACACCCUUCCUCUGGGGAAGUUUGUUCUCUCUGGUGGACUAAGCGGAUUGUCGUUUUGUGAAUCCUCCCUCUCCCUCUCCCUCUCCUCCUCCUACAGUACAUUUGCCCUUUUUUCUCCUCUUAAUUUUUGUCAUUAUCUUUUUUAAUCGGAAUAAGAGACUUUCAAUAUACAUUAUAAUUAUAAUUAUUUGUCCUUCACUCUCUACAUUCAUCUUUUCUACUUGUACAGUAGACCAUUUACCAUUCUAGUCAAAAUUCCAUGUCUCAUCCUUUAGAUUUUGACACUGCAUCCACUGGCGUAGUCAAAGUGCUAUAAAUUCUAAGUUUUGUAUAAUUGAACUAUCAUUAAAUCCAGAAUAUUCUACUACGACGUUGUAUAUUCUAUCAAUAAUCAAACACGUUUACCCUUUUUUUCUUUUAUGUAAUUGAAACUAGUGAUCAUUUACCCAAGUCUAAAUUGAUUUUGGCAUCUUCAAGAGACAUGCAUGAAGCAUUGUCGACUCAAAAUUGUCUGACUUUAAUUCAAGGUAGAAUUGCCUCGUCCUGGAACAUGAGUGUGACCCACAAAAGGCAGUAGAAAAUAUGAAAUUACAAUGGAAAAGCUCUAGCUCUCUCUCUCUUUCUUUCUUCCAUUUGUUUUGGUUGCCACUCACCCCCAAGGAUCUAUGGUAAAGCAGAGUGCAUCUUUAUUUUGGUAGGAAUAAGAAGUAGUUUUCAUGGGGUCGGGCUUGGUGUGUGUGCCGUUACAUUUUCUGCCCGCCAACGAAACACACCGAAAGCACCAAAAAAAGAAAAGAAAGAAAAGAUUUUCCAAAACCCAAAAAAUAUAUAUAUAUAUAUACCCAUCACACACAAUACACUAGCGUACAAAUAUUUUAUUGAAAAAACAAAAGGACAAGCGUGAAACCCAUUCUGAUAAAAAUCAGCCUCUCUUCCUUUUUCUUUCUUCCUCUCUGCCCCUUUUUACUCUUUCUCUAUGUCCAUCUAUAGCCAUUAGCCAACUCUACACUUCUUAUUAGCACUUACCCUAGGGAAAAGGCAGAUAGAUAUAGCUGAGAGAUAUGGAACUCUCAACCAGCUUUUCUUUAUGGAUGUUUUCUUUUGUAUAAUGAUCAGCUAGGUGGACCGAAAACCCUCUUCUUCUUACUGGAAGAAGAUGGCUAUACAACAACAUGAACAGCAAUACUCACAACAGCAACAAGAACAGAACCACCCUUCUUUCUUGCUAGAUGCUCUCUACUGUGAAGAAGAGAAAUGGGAAGAGGAAGAGGAUGAAAAUGAUGUAGGUGAAGUUUUACAGCAAGAGAUGAGUUCCAGGAGUUGUAAUAAUGCCAGAAACCCUUCUCUUUUUCCACUUUUGUUGUUGGAGCAGGAUAUGUUUUGGGAAGAUGGUGAGCUUCUUUCACUCUUCUCUAAAGAAAAACAGCAACAGGCGGCUUAUCUCAAUCCCAACAAUGUGGAAACUGAUGAGCCUCUCGCUGUGGCUCGCCGUGAGGCUGUGGAGUGGAUGCUUAAAGUCAAUGCUUACUACGGAUUCACCACUCUCACGGCUGUACUUUCCAUUAACUAUCUCGAUAGGUUCCUAAGUAGAUUUCAUUUUCAAAGAGAUAAGCCCUGGAUGAUCCACCUUGUGGCGGUGACUUGUCUGUCUUUGGCUGCAAAAGUUGAAGAGACACAAGUACCUCUUCUUCUAGACCUACAGGUAUGUGCCUCAGAACAACAAUGUUGAUAUAUAUGCUCAAUUAAAUUGUUUAUCCUUUCUUGAUUUUGAGGGUCAAUAACAUGUAUUAAUGUUCGCUUUCGUUUUAGGUUGAGGAGACAAAAUAUCUUUUUGAGGCCAAAAAUAUUCAAAGAAUGGAGCUUUUGGUUCUCUCCACCCUGAAAUGGAAGAUGCAUCCAGUUACCCCGCUUUCAUUUCUUGAUCACAUCAUAAGGAGGCUUGGAUUGAAGACUCAUCUCCAUUGGGAGUUUCUCAGGAGAUGUGAGCGUCUCCUCCUCUGUGUAAUCUCUGGUAAGCAUUCCAUUAUUGCUCUCCCAAGUUCACUAUGACAUUAACUUUAGAUUUUCUUCGAGAGUAGUUACCAAAGGACAAAAAAAAGAAAAGAACGAAAGAGAUACCCGUUUGUGUUUUUUCUCCUCAUUUGGUAUUAUGUUUUCUUUUGGUUGUUUGUAGAUUCAAGAUCUGUCCAUUAUCUUCCCUCUGUAUUGGCCACUGCAACAAUGAUGCACGUUAUAGGCCAAGUUGAGCCUUUCAAUCCCAUUGACUACCAAAACCAACUUCUCAGUGUUCUUAAAAUAAGCAAGGUUUGUAUUUAAUCAUUAAUAAAGUAGUUAAUUUGGGUAUUCCUCAUUGUUGAUGUCAAAAUUGUGGUUAAAAAAACAUUCCAUAAAUAGCAAAUUAUUUGGACGUUAUUAAAUAUACGAGUAGUAGUACAUCAUCUUUUUAAUUUAGGGUGUGACUAAGGAUUAACUAUUAACUAUAGGUACCUGAUAAGACUAGUUACAAUUUUAUUAGAAAAUGUUUUUUAAGUUAAUGCAUUAUCUCUUCAUAUGCAAGAAUAGACUACAUUAAUUAUACAAUACAUCUUUAAUUUAAUUUAUUGUCCCACUGCUUUGCAACAGGAAAGAGUAAAUGACUGUUGCAAGCUCAUUCUUGAUCUAUCAACAAGACCCCAAAACAAUGCAUAUAGCAGUAAUCCUCAUCCUCACAAGAGGAAGCUGGAGAUGGUUCCGAGCAGCCCCAGCGGUGUGAUUGAUGCUGCGUUUAGCAGCGAUUGCUCAAACGAUUCUUGGGCUGCGGGGUCGUCAGGCUCAGUCUCCUCAUCACCAGAGCCACCCUUUAAGAAGAGCAGAGCCCAAGAACAAGGAAUGCGUUUGCCAUCACUCAACCGAUUCUUCGUAGACAUCGUUGGCAGCCCUUCUUAAUCUUUCUGUGUCCAAAAAAGAUCUAUUAUUUAUUAUGCUUAUGUCCCUUUUUUGGUUCAAGAAAUCAAGUAUUUUUAAGUUCCGAAGAGAAAAAAAAAGAAAAAGAAAAAAAAUCUGCUUUGCCUUCCCAUCUCUACGAUUCCAAGAAUGCCCCGAGUCUUAUUGCAAAGUUAAGGAAGGGGGGGUGGGGUGGGGGGUGGGGGGUGGCACAGAGAGUUGUUGAGACGGGUGGCAAACUAGACAUAGGGAGAAAAAUGGAUUAGGGGAAAGAAAAAAGGGGCGCAUUGAAGAAUGUAUGCAGUCUGCUUCUCUGUGUGUGAAUGUCUUUGGCAUUUGGCACCUCUAUUUUUCAAUCUGCAAGUGUCUUUUCAAAGCAUUACUUUUAUAUAAACAUUUAUAUUUUAAUAUUUUUACUCUAUGACCAUAUAAAAAUAAAUUCAGAGCACAAUUUUGUUUUAUCUGUGAUGAUUUAUUUAUUUAUUUAUUUCUGUCAAACUCUCCUCUCUCUCUCUCUCUCUCAUUAGCUUGAGAGACCCAUGUAGCCACGAAUGACCGGCACAUUCGUUUUAUCUUAUAAUAUUUAAAUGCGCUAGUGUGUUUGGUUAUGGAAGAAAAAACCGGAGAAGAAGGUUUUGUUUGUUUGUAUGCAUGCAUGUGAAGGGAGAGAGAGGGUGUCGGCCAGUGGGGUUUUGGGGUUUGGUUUUUAGGGAGAGAGACUUUUGCAUUGGGAGGUUUGACCUCGUUGCAAGUGCUAGAGGUGACCAUCACCCCUCCCUCUCUCUCUCUCUCUCUCUCUCAAAUCUCAAAAACCUAAUCCUGGCCUUUGGCCCAGCAAGAAAACAACGCACCCUCUCUUGCUCUUGGAUUUUCCACACUUUUCUCUUGUCCAUUAGCCUAGUCAAGAAGCAAUGCAAAUAAAUGUAAGAUCGUGUCCCCAGUUCCCCUCUCCACGCGCCUUACUUGGAGCGUGAGUGGGGCUGCUCAAGAAACUUGAGUGGGAUUGCGUAGGGUUGGAAUGAAUAAGAAAUGCAAGCGCACGCGCUUAUGUAAGAAAAUGUAAAUAGCAAAGUAGUAAAGGACAGGCAAAAGAAUGCUCACAAAAUGCUUUUACCAAUCCGAGUCUAUACUUAAAAAACAAAAUGGGAUGUUUCCUCCUUAACUUUAUUUGAUGGAAUCUGCCCUUUUUGUAUCCUUACUUAAUCAGAUUAGACUAACUCCCAUUUAACCCACCAUUAUCCUUUCCACCCUUAAAACCAAAAGGUACUACUACUUCCCCCUAUUGGUAUUUCCCCUUACCAUAAAGUUCUCAAUAUUCUUCUUCUUCUUCUUCUUCCCCACCCCACCCCCUUUCCUUUUUGCUAAUUUGAGCACAAUGAAUCUGAGCGCAUUUUAGUGGGGAUUCUCCAAUUCAGCAUGCCUCAAAUCUUUAUACUCCUUGCAAUUCUUUUUCCUUUAUAUAUUUAUUUUUGUUUAAAAAAGAAAAAAUGUAUAUAGUAUCUAAUUUCUUUUACUUUUUCCACGUGUUGGAAGGUAAUAUUUAAGGCUUCUUUUCAAGCCGUUUUGAGUCUCUAUAAAAAUAGAGCAUGCUUAUGCACUUUUUGAUUGGAAAAAUAGUUGCUCCUUCUCUCUCUGUCUCUCUGUGUUGAUCAAUCCAGCCACUUCUUUUUUCUUAAAUUAUCUGAAAAUGGAAUGCUUACUUCGAUUAACAUAUGUGAAUAUAUAUCCUCUAUAAAGCACCAUGUGGGAUGGUGUCGGCAUUAAAUGCAUAAUAAUAAUCUUAACACCAUUGUAAAAACGUUAAAAGAUGAUUUUGAGUACGAAGAGUAAUUCUAGUAUUUGCUCAAAUUAGUCAUUUGUCUCAUUCCAUAUGAUAAAAACGUAAAUUGGUAAUGGUUUAUCGGUUUAGCUAUUAACAUUGAAAUUUCAAUCCUAUAUAAAAUCAUAAUAUUGUGAUUGAAACCAUCUUACAAGGAACGGCAAUCUAACUAAAAAAGGGAGAAAAAUCUUGGUCAUGAUAAUAAAGAUUUGAAAAGAAAAUGAUCGAACAAAGAAGAGAGUUAUGGAAAACUAAGUUGAGGGUGUAGGUUCGGAGGCACCCACUGACUCGACCCAUAUAAAAAGGUAAAAGAGAUAAAAGGGGAAUUUUGAAUUUGGGGGACAAAAUCUUUGAUAUUGUGAGAGAUUGUCUUUGGGGUCCUUUUUUCUUGUUCUCUACUUUAAGGUUGGUAGAGCGUAGAUUGUAGUAGAUGCGUGCAAGUGCUCAUGAUUCAUGAGAGAGAGAGAGAGAGAGAGAGGAAUGUGUUGUUUUUUCAAAGGGAAACAGCUUGCUCCCAAGAACCAAAAGAUCAUGAGGUCAGUGUGUCCCCACACCAAUAAUUGUAGAAUAAUAUGAUCAUGGCUGGGGGGAGCUUUUAGGCUUUAGCUCGCUCAUCUUAAACAAACUUUUGACCUGGUCUCUCUCUCCCUCUCUCUCUCACUUUUCCUUCUUAUUGCUUCAUUAAUUUAGGCCUACACUUAGUAGUAUUAAAUAACUUGGACUAAAUUUUGGCCCAAAACCCUCCUCAUGUAGUUUCCAAUUUCUUUUUGGGUUUUUGCCCUUCUACCAUAUUUACUUUUUCUUGCUUACAGCUGUAAAGUUUAAAGGACAACAAAAGAGAUGACCAUAGAGGCUUGUGGGUCCUUGUCCCAGCCAUGGGUUGUUUCCUUUCUUUUCUUCUUUCCUUUGCGUUUUUUGGGACAGAAAAUGGAAAUAACAUGGCAAGAUGUGGAAGCAGCAGUAAAAAAUAAAAAUAGAUGGGGUUACUUUUAUAUAGCUUCUUCCAUCUAUAGCACUUGGCAAUCUAUGGUCCUUUUGACUGAAACCACUACCAAAAUGUUAUGAUCCCAACCUUCCAAUAAUGUUUUCAACAAACAUGAAAUUCAACGUGAGUCAUGGGAAUCAACCUUUCUUGACUGACUUAUUUGUUUGCUUUCUGUAAGACUUGUAACUCUCACCUAUGACUUUAAACCUGGUAAAUUUUUGUUCAGAUUUAGCAUGUAGGGUGCAAAAGUUAAUUACAGUCUCAUGUUGUUAGUUUUGAAGAGACUAUUAUGGAAGAUCAAAAUGAGUUUUCUUCUUUAUCAAGAAAGUUGAAUAAUCCUUGCUCUUGCUUAAUGUCAAGUUCUGCUGCAAAGUAACAUGCAGAGAAGAAAUAUAUGUUUUUUCUGCCAGGGAAUGGCAAACUCUGACCUUAAUCUAAAAGUCUACCAAGUAGUGAACAAACAUGUAGAUUAUGUCUCCAACACUUAAAAUAUAUAUAUAUAUAUAUAUAUAUAUAUAUAUAUAUAUAAAGGGAUAAGAGUUUUAAAAUACAUGGCCCUGGGGAGAUAUUGGCAAGGUAUACUGAUCGGGAAGUGAGUAUACCAACCAAUAUUUGGUGUUUUUGCUGAUACGGUUGUCUUUUGUAUUUGGGCUGAGGGAAACCAAUUUCUUCCCUUCGCAUUCCAAUGAAAUCCCAGUUUAACUUUCAAAAAAAAAAAAUACAUGGCCCUGGGGACCAGAGGGGAGUCCUCAAGAGCAAAAAUGCAGCUUAGCACUGUUGCCAUGGCCCUCAAAAGAAAAUCAGAAAUGGAGGCCCCAAACUACUGUCGACUUGCCUUGCGUUGCACAUCUAUUACGUGAACCAAAUAAUUGUGCCAAGUCCUUCUGGUUUCAUCCCUUCUGUUAAAUAGUUAAUGUGGACGCUACACCCAAUCGGCAUCCAAUGUUAUGGCCAGUGGUCACUAUCUCCAUGAAAUGCCAAAAUCGUAAACCAGGUCGCCCCGAAGGCCAUGUAACCCUAUCUUCAAUUUGUACAAAGUUUGCUUCAUUAUUGCGGGGGACAUCUAAUAUUACCCUUUUUUUUUUUUACAGUUGGGAAAUUAGAAUCAUUAAUCCAAGUCCUCGCUAAGAGAAGGGUAAAUUAUCUAAUGGAUGUUUCAAUCAUUAGAGGUAAUGAAUAAGAAUGCAUGAGGGAUAACCUGACAUAUUUUGUACUUCACAAAAUUUUUACUGAUAUCUUUAUAAUGUUGAGAAGUGGGGAUUUUACUGCCACGAAUUGUAAUUUGACCUCAAAGCAGAUAAAGUUUGGGGCUACGUUUUUUCACCUUUUUAAACCUGAUUGAUUACAUCUCUUCUUAAUACAGUCCAAGAACACUCUGCGCAAUAGGACAUGGCAUCACUCAUAAAAGCUGAGCAACAGCUCAUCGGUGAGCUUGACUUGUCUGAUUAGUAAACAAGCCUAGCUAACAUACUAAAUGAACUGACGCAACUUGUUUCAAUGACCACUCUGUUGGUUACCCAGCUUAGGACAGCCAUGUCGUGAGAAUAAUGCAAACUCCAUUAAACCUUGAACAAAAAGAUCUCUAAGAGGGGACCUUAUUCAAUGAAACCUUCAAUGAGGUCGAAAAGGUAUUAUACACAUACAAAAGAAAAUUCAUAUUUAGAAAGCUAUAUAUCAAUGGAGAACUGAGAAGCAGAGGCCAGGCACUUUAGAAAAACAAAAAACAGAAAAGAAAAAUGAAGAGGUGGAGACAAGCAGCAUUCAAUGUAGAAAUAAUGGUAAUGGUUUAUGGAUGGGUGGUCCUUGGAUGGCAAACACAAAGAGGUGAUGCUUCUCUUAUUUACACUCUUUUCCCUUCUUCUUAAAAGAGGUAAAAUUUAUUGCUAUGCCAUGUAGAGUUGCCUUUUGGGCCUCAAGAGUCCCUUUACAUGGUCAGAGAAAAGGACAACUGGAGUUUUUGAUGUCUUCCAGGGUCAGCCACGUACCAAAAACUUUGAAACUUGGCUGUUCCCCAGCAAGCAUGUUUGCUUCUCAGACAAAGAUUCGAGUAUCUUUUGGCAGGCUAAGGGUGACCCAACCCCAAUCAGUUAAAUUUUCAAAGAGGGCUACAACAUUUUAAAUAGGGUCUUGUACUAUAUGGUUCUUAAGUGAGCGCCAAAAGCCAUCUUUUGCUGUAAAACAUGUUCAUCACAUUUAGACCCACUCCCUCUCUUUUUUGGUUGAUAUGCUUUUGGGUGAACCACGAACAUGGAUUUCAAUGACAGUAAGGAAGACAAAGAUUCAGACCAAUUACCAACAAGAACUUAAGCAAAAGGACAAACAAAGCACCAAGCAAAUUGGAGUAGUAAAAACGUUCAAGUAAAUGACAUGAAUCCUAUUGCCCAACCAGUCUAUUUAAAGCUUUCAAGCAAUUAGUCUCCAACAAGAUAAUUUUUUUGAACAGUCAAAAGAUUAUGAAAACUUGUCAUGGAAAAACAAGCAUUUCAAAGAACUUCCACCCCAAGACCCAGUACUCACUAGUCAUCCAUUAGGUGACAAUCAAGCAAAAAAUUAAUUAGGUCCUUUUUCAUUAACAAUUCUGGAUUAUAGGGAGGCCAGCAACUUAGCUGUGUCUCUGUUGGUUAUGGAUGGUAACAACUGCAGUAACAGGUGUUCAAUGAACUCUCUUGGCUCAUGGUAAGAAGUGUAGAAACCUCUAAUUUCCGUAAGGUUAAAUAUACAGGACAUUUUCACUCAUGCUUAUGUCCUUUGCUGUCCUUGCUGCAAUAAAUUUGCGGUAACAUCAUGUUUGUCACUCUCACAAUCUAUUAGUAGUUCAUUGCCACAAUACUCAAAUUAGUUAGAAUGUCAAAAUCCCAACUGACCACAACCCUACAAAAUCGAUUUUUAAAAUGUCCAACAAGGUUACAAAAGCUCACAGACAGAAUUUGAUCCCCCCCAAUAUCUCCAGAAGAAGGCACAAUAAGGAAGCAGCUCGAACACAACAUGACACAGAAUUACCGCCAACUGAUGAAAAAAGCAUCCAAAGAGUUAGCCAUGGAGUUGGGAGACGAUGGAGACAUCACAUUUCUCGUUGUUUUGUUCGAUAUAAAACUAGCUACAUAUAUGUUUGACAGUGAGAUGGUGGAUUGGUGGGUUUAUUUCUGGACACCAUUAUUUUUACCAUCAGAGGCAGCUCUGGCUUUGGCCAUGCCAUAUUUGCAGAAUGGGAAGAACUGGACCACAUUUGUUUUACCAAAUAGAAGUAGAACCCGUGACUGUCUUUACACUUUCAUGGUAAAGUAGACUACACGCAUGAACCGUGCUGCAUAAAGAAUUAAUCACAGAAACGUAGUACAUUUGAAUGGCAAAGAAAGUAAUGAAAAUUACUGUUUUUGGCUGAGAAAGGCCAUGCAAUCUUUUGAGUUGUAAAAAUCUCUUGGGUUUGACUCUGCAUUGAGCCACUGCUUUUCUCUUCUAUCCAGAAAAAAUAAAAUACCCAGUCCCAGUGUCAUCUUGCGAGUUGAUAAGUGGAGGAAUAAUGAUGUACUAAUGAGCAGAUGAUGUCGAAAAUUGAAAUUCGAGUGAUUGAAGCAUGGCAUUGCUUUGUGAUAGGUAUCGUCUCUAUUGGUGAUGUACUUGAUGGAAAGAACAUCAGAGGAAACAGCUUUCUCCCCCUGAUAUAUCACAGGUCUUUUCUCAUUUCCGCCAAACCAUUUAAACCAUGCCCGUCGUUUGUCGUGAUUAAAUGAUUUUACAAGCUUGCAGGAAUUCUAAUCUAAUCAUAUAAAAAUCCACUGGUCUGGAUUCGUUUGCCUGUACUUGACAGAUUGCAUAUACUAAUAAUAUAUCAACUGUUCAGCGCAUAUCACAAUUUACUCCUUGUACGACGAAAAACAAAAGCAACAUGAAUGAUUGUAUUCCCCAAUUUUGGGCUCUGAUCUGCCAAAGUUGGGAUCUCAAUCCAAUUUUAAACGGACCAGUCGACAGAAAAUCAUUCAAACUCCAACCACACCUCGAUUUAUGUUUUAUACAAUCAAGGCCCAUCAUCGCAUGAUACUGGGGCUUGGCCUCGUUGGUUUACGGGGCGGAUAUAGAACCCCAGCUCCUGCAAAAACCAGGGUUCCUUGAUAUUAAAUGGAAAAUUUUGCCCAGAAAAAGGAAAAAAUGGCCAUCAUUGCCAACGGAAAAACUCCACAACACCCAAGACAGACAUCCAGGGGUGCAAUCAUUAGCAAUAGCUUAUAGAACAACAGCUGAGUAAGUACUUCUGUGUCCAUUGCGAAUCGCUGAGUCAAAAGAAAAAGGUGCAUUAGACCAGGUUAAAAGUUCAAUGCAACAUUUGGUCCCGACUCGCAGUUUUUUGUGCCAAGAUGUCAACAGAUAGCGUCUAAUACAAUUCACUCUAGACAACUCUCCCACCAACUUAAAAAUAAUCAAACAGGCGGUAAUGGCAAAAUUCUGGAUGAUCUGGAAAAGGUGCAGAGGUGAACAAUUGCACCUAUCAAUAUCUCAUGUUAAACCUGCUGGAAAUAAGCUGUUGCCAACCUUGAACAUAAACAUUGGAUCAAUCAGAAUCUAUACUGUGAUGAAAGAUCAAUAAGUUUUAACAGAUAUGUUAAGCACUGAUAACAUAAUCCAUAUUGCCUAUAAUGAAAAGCAGCUUACAUAUGACUUAACUACACUUACUUGCUUGUCAAAAUUUACAUAAAAUCAGAGCGGACAAGUUAAAGCCCACUACAGAUUGAAGCAAAGAUGCUUAACAAGGAUGAAUUUCAAUCACAUGAAAGUAGUGUAGUAAUCAUUUUUCAGCUUGGUUGACAAUUUGACAGGUACCAAAAGUGAAACUUUAUCCUGACAUAAAACUUUUAACUGCCACUUGAGGUGAAAAGUAAAAUGCUACCAUACAGAUAAAACAAAGCAGAAACACAAAUAAAACGGCUGGUAGUUUGAGCAAAGUAAUAGUACAAGCUAAAUCAUUUGUCAGUCCGUGCUUCACAAGCUGCUUAAGUUUAAAAUGGAUAGCAUAUCUGCUGACAAGUUUCACAAAGAAAACAAGUAGUCAAUUGUACCCAAAGAUAUUUAAGAAUUCUAAAAAAAGAGGAAGUUAGUAAGAUGUAAACAUGUCUUCUCCAAAAACAUAAAAAUGUCAAUGAGCAGCUUUUUUACAAGUGGAUCAUCCUCCUCGCAUAUGAGCACCAAGUUCACCAAAUUGAUCAUCAGCUUCCACAGUAUCCUCAGACAGGCGAACUGCAUCCAGCUUCUGUUUGAGGACUUCUAUAGCAUUAAGUACCAACUGAGAAGCUUUGAUCGCACCGGUGGAUUCAACAGUAAAAAUGAAACUGUCUUCUUUUGCAUAAAUCUCCACAAGGCCUGGCUUUCCCAUAGCUUCAGCUUUCUUUAGCACUUCAUCAUCGUAGGUAUAUGCCUCUGGAUCAACCACCACAACCUGCUUUCCAAAUAAAAUAAAAAUCAUGGUUAAAAAUAAUAGUAGUAACAACAGCAGCAGCAGGAAAAAAGAAUAAUCUCGAAAGGAUGGCUUGUGAGUUGUGACAUAUGGAUUGAAACAACAAAUUCAAAAGCAUUCGAAGCUGAAGCAAGUGAGCAUAGCCAUCAACAAAAUAAGCAUCUAAUCUGCCAAUCUAUUUCAUAAAUGCUUCAACUCUAUAACUGGCAUAAUAGUUACUAACUACAAUAUUGUAUUAACCAAGAAUUCUAAAACAACAACAACAAAAUAUGAUGUUCAACACAGUAACAGUAGGAGUAGGCCCAUUUAACCGAAAGGCUAACACAAUGUAGUUUGACAGCUCACUUCUUCAGCCAAUUAGCCUAUCAGAUAAAACAGAGUAGUAACAGCCCUAGUAGAAAGAGAUAAACCUCAACCCAGAAACGUAAAGUAAAUCUCAACUUCCACCAAUAUCCUCAUGAUGCAUAAAAGUCAAGGCACAACGCUCGGAACUAUUUUAAGAUAGAUAUCAGGCUACCAAAACACACAAACAUUUGCCAGCUAAGGCAAACAAGGACCUUCUAAAGGACCUUGAUUGCGUCGACGGUAAUUUUAUUAUACUAUUGGAAUGAUGAAAUUAAGUAAAACCAACAAUUUCUAUAACAAUCUAGACCUAGUUUGAUAGCCAUACAAACCAAAACUUAAUCUCAACCAAUUUCUUUACUAGAAUUAAUGUAAGACGAAGAAAGAAAAGGCGAACCUGUUGGGUAUUAGGAUCAAUAUCAAAGACUCUAGUAGGACUACUCUCAACAAAGCUUUGCUUCUCCUCAAGCGUCAAGGUUUCCAUCAUAUCUUCAUUGAUAUGAAUCUCAGGUUCAUACAUGAAAGUCACAGUCGCAGCCGGUGACCAUUUCGCAUGGUCUUUCCCUAUACCUUUCCUCGCAAUUGCCCUCAGCCUCAAUUCUUGCCCUCGCCGUAACUUCACAAUGAUAAUCCCCCUGCAACCAAACAAAAAUUUUAAUUUUCUAUAAGUCUCUAACCAAAAGAAAAAACCUAAUGUAAUUGUCAUUUCGAAUAAUUCACAAAUUUAUCCCUAAAAAACCCUAAACACCUUUGCUCAGAGGAAUCGUAGCCAGCGGAAUCGGUGAAAUCGACGGGAACAACCGUAUGAUCGGAACUAUAGAGAUCCUUGCUGGUAACAUCGAGGGUUUGAUCGGUCAUGCAUUUGGCACGAAGAUGGAACUCGACGGAGCAGAACUCGCACUGGCCGUCACCGUCGCAUGCGUCACAGUCACGCGAGAAUCGCAUCGACAUGGCGCGUUCGCUGGUGAGAGGGAUGAGGCCGAGGCGGUGGGCAAUGAACUCGUCGUUAAGGACGGAGGAGUUGACUUCAAUUUCGACGAGGUCGAUUGCGAUGGUGGGGACCUCGGCAAUCAUGACGCGACGGAGGGCGUUGGCCAUGGAGGCGUCGGUGUCGCGAAGCUCGAAUUUUGCAUAGUCGUCUUUCAGUUCGCGGAUUUUGACCUUGGGGAAUCGCUGGUAGGAGACUCCCUCCAUUUCUGAAAUUUGAUUGAAUGGUUUUUGGCUCUGGAGCUAAAAAGCCUAAAAUAGAACCUGUAAGCGAAGAGGAACAGAAGAGUUGAUAAACCCAAAAUGGGGUUUUGGUCGAUUGUCGUGUCGGCUUGUUACACUCACUUGAGUACCAAGUGACGUCGUUUCUUCCUUGGUUCACACGCUACUUGCUAAAUCCUCCUACUGUUAAUAGUAGUUAACUUGUUAUGAUUUAAAUGUGUUUCCCAAUAAUUUUAGUUUUGGCUUCAUGCCAAAUUGGACAGUACUACUAGCAUGACAUCUACAUAUACUAUAAAUAAAUAGACAUGUAUAUCAGCAGAGAAUUGAUCCUCUGUUUCUUUAUUAAAAUCCAAUGUCAAUUAGUGAACAAUAGUUGUACAAAACGAAAUACUUAGCAGUAAGAAAUGUAGUAGUAAUAUGGUAUAUAUUGGGGUUGUGUUUUUCCUGUUCCCCGGUAGUUUAUGUUCCCGUUCUUAUUAUUAUCAUCAUUCAAUUCAAAUUAUCAUACUAAUAAAGAAAAGCCAAAAGCCGAUCUCUUGCAAACAACACAGUCUGGGGCAAACAGGCUUGAAGUCUGAAAAUCUCUGUCCCCUCCCAUUACUGGCAUUUUUGCGCCAAUGUUUAGGUGGCUUACGUAGCCAAGCUUAUAAGUUUGUCCCAACACGCCGUUCGCAUCAUCACUCAAAGAGUAGAACUUGAAUCCAAGAUCAAGAUGAGCAAAACAGUCAUCUUGUUUUAUGCCAUAGUUGUGAAUCCUGGAAUCUUCCUCAGUGAUGGGCACCACCUUGGCUGUGAUCUUGAAGUUCCCUUCAACUUCAACUAUAACGUUAUUGGUGUCACUAGCUCUGGUGAUGGAGACGUUGGGCACAUUUGCAGAUUGCCACUUGUCGCCUUCGGAUUCAGGGAGAGUAACAGGUUCUCCAUCAAAAGUGAGGCUGAGGUCGUCAAUGGAGUCAUCCCAUGUAGAGGUUUUCAGGGCACCAAGGAAGAGAUAGUGUUUGUCGAAGAGGAUUGCAAUGGACUGCACCCAAGUGAAGUCCCUCUUCAUGUUUUGGUUUCUCCUGCCAAUGAAGUGGGCAUUGAUGUGUAGGUUGGAGUCGGAAACAAGGCAAAAGUCUUGGUCCGUCUUGCCAUGGAAGUAGAAGGUGAUGCCGUCGCCACCUAUGAAUCAAGGGUCCUGGCACACUGCUGCUGGCCUAUCACACUCUGCCGUAAAGCAAACAUAGGAGUUAGAAGAAUCGUCGAGUUAUAUAUAUAUGAUGACGCAUAAAAAAAAUUUCUAUAAAUUUGUUCAAAAUAUUUUCAGGGUUUUAAACGAACACUGACACCCAAGCAAUGUCCUAAAGAGCAUUUCAUUUAUGUCUACAAAUAAUUUAAGCUUUGCAAUAAUGAGGUGCAUUUGAGACUUACUGCAAACAGGUUUGCAAGUGACGCAAUCAACCUCACAUCCACCGGGGCAAGAGCUGGGCGUAUAUGCUUCAUGUUAUAACAUUGAGGGUAGUUUUCGUUCUUGCAUUUGACGGUCUUAGGUGAGGUAUAUGGAGGAGGAUUCUGUGACUGAGUGGGAGAUGGUGGGGAUGCAGGAGGAUUCUGUGAUUCUGUUGGAGGAGAUGGAGGAGUGUAAGUAGUUGGUGGAGUUGGAGUGGGAGGAGAUGGUGGUGAUGGAGGAGGAUUCUGUGAUUCUGUUGGAGGAGACGGUGGAGAUGUUGAUGGAGGAGUGUAAGUAGUUGAUGGAACUGGAGUGGGAGGAGAUGGUGAGGAUGGAGGAGGAUUCUGUGAUUCUGUUGGAGGAGUAUAAGUAGUUGGUGGAGUUGGAGGAGAUGGUAAAGGUAUCGAUGGAGGAGUGUAAGUAGUCGGUGGUGUUGUAGGAGUGGAAGUGUUGUCAUCACCGUCUGGGGGAGAAGCAGGGACUGAUGGAGGACUUGAGGCUCCGACACACAUUCAACUGUGCAUUCACCACUGGGGCAAAACUUUGGGCAAACAUGCUCUAAGCUAUAGCAGUACUUGUAUUUCUUGAUCUUGCAUCUUGCAUGGCUCAGGUGGUUGGCAAUACCAGGUGGAGUUGCCCCUGCCAUACUAAGUAAAACCAAGAGGAGAAUGGGCAGAAGGUGCAUUUUCGGUUAAGCCAUUGAAGCCAUCAAGCUGAACCAGACUUGAAUUUAUGAUUCCUGAAUGGUUGGAACUUGAAUGGCUUGCUAUGUUUUGUGAGAUUGACAUUGCCAAUCACCCCUUUUAUAGACGUCCAGUUGGAGAAUUAAUGAACACCAAAGUGCCUAAUAUUUCGGAUCAAUGCUUUUGGUUAAGUGAACCUCUCUCAUGCCAAUUCAGCAAGUCAAUCAAAAAGGGAAAAAAGAAAAAGAAAUGGGCGAGUCAGGCCAAUCAUGUUAGUGUUGCUUCUAUUUGCUUUGGAUAUAAACAUGGCAUCACUUAACAGUGAAGGGGGAGAGGGCACUUACAGCAAAAGCUGCUUUCCUUCACCUAUACAUGUUUUUUUGUUGCUAUAUAUGAGGCUCUUCUUUACUUAUUCUGGAGAAAUAGACAGCCAAAGGUGCUGAAUAAGACAAGAAAACUCAAUAAUUUAAAAUAAUCUCAAAGCUUACAGCAUAAGAAACAGAACAUAAGAUAGAUGUUGCUUGUGAGGAAGAUUUGCAAGGGGCACUUUCCUUGUUACUGUGUGGUCAUCUCUGUUUCAACAUAAUAAGCGGUGGGCUAACUUUUAAACCAUGCAUUCUUGUAGCUCCCGCUGUUGUCCUAACCUUUGGUUUCCUUAGCAAUUGCCCUAUUUCUUGGAUUUGAUUAUCAGCCAAUUCAAAAAAAUAGAAAAAAAAAAGUCUUUCAACUCUUCCUUAGUCUGGUCCAAACAUUACUAAGUUGUUUGGCUACCUUUCUGGUUUACUUUUGCAUUUAAACUUAGAAGUUUCUCUCUCAUUUUCUGGGUUCACUUAUUUUAGUGGUGAAUUGCCAUAAUUAUUAUGCAUUCUAUACCUGUGGUUAGGCAAAUUUCUGUGUCAUCCAUUGCUUUAAAAUAUGAGACUUCUCUGUUUUACGUCAGUAUUUUAUUUAGUUGAAAUCAGAAAUCAUUCCCUUUGGAUGCAAGUGUGAUAACGAAGAAGCACAAGGCUUAUCCUGUCUCAUUACAUUUUAACAACAAUCUGAAGAGAAUUUGUAUUGAAUGUCAAAGAGGAUACAAAGUAUAGAUUCCUCGAUAUUCAGAAUGAACAAUGAGCUCAGGAAGUUUUUAUUCUACAACCACUCCCACCCCCCAAAGGCGUUUAUUUGACACUAUCAACCAACCUGUCAAGAGUAGCCUUUCCUACUCUCCUGCAGCAAAAGGUUUGCAUGAGUAAUGUCUCAAACUUAUAAAAGCAAAUUUAUAAGAGCAUUUCUGUUUAUUUCUAUAAAACAGGCAAUCCUCUAGAAAAAAGGAAGAGUUUGACCAAUAUAGAACUCACCUCCUAAAGGUUUUGUUAUUUGUUAUCACUAGUAAUAAUUCAGAGGUACAUAUACAAGUCCUAACUAAAGCGAUAAUUGGUUUCAAAGCGAAAGAACUUACUUGAAGAAAUGUUGUUAUGCAGUGAGAAUGCAUCUUGUUGGGCAUCCAUCUGCACCGACCAUCCUCAGAGGUAGGCAAUGGACAGUAUACUUCCCUGGCUGGAUGCCAUCGAGGUUCAGACCUUCAACAAGAACAAUUUCCUGAAGAAUUUGAGCAGUUUCAGAAAUGCAUUUCAACCCUUCUCUAUAAACCAGAGUAAAGAAAGCCAUAACAGAUGGGUUGGGGCAGAAAAAUAUUUAAAAAAAAAAAUUAAAAUUAACAGGCUCUCAGAUUCACAAGAGAAAUCUCAUUAUUCUUACCCUUUUCUUUAGAAAUAUAUGAUGAGUUGGGGCAGCAUCAACAUAAGCAGAAACAGAUAGGUAAUCAAGUCCUACAAUUCAUACAGACAGAUGAAUUAGUACAACUAAAAGUUCUGCCAAAAAUCGAAGCACAGAAAUGGCCUUAUUUUCUAUAGAAAAUGAUUGCGUUAUACUGCUUUGAUUGCCUGAUUUUGGUAAUUACCAAUUUGUGCUAUUGAAUCCGAUCAAGUUUUACUUUCAAACAAAAAGUGUUAACAGAGUGGUAGGAAGGAAAUUUAUCAUCGAUUGCUUUCUUCCCUCAGUUACUAACACAUUCUGUUGAAGUGACUCGCAGGGGUGGAGGGUGGUACUGUUUUGGGAGGCACGGCCCUCCUAAAUAUUUUUGAAAAAUUUUAAUUAUUAUAUAUAUAUAUAUAUAUAUAUUUAAUACAUUUGGAGAGUAGUAUAGUUAUGGAGGUUGUGAUCCCUCAAAAAUUUUGAAAUAUUUUAUUUAUUAUAUAUUUUAAUACUUUUCAAAAUAAUUUUUUAUUUAAUAAUUAAUAUAAAUAAUAAAUAAUAAAAUGACCUUACAAACUUUAGUCAACACUAUUCCAAUUUAAAUUUAUUCACACCUCUUUCUCCCUCUCUUUCUUUUCUGUUUUUGUUUUUUUAUUUUACUUCACACUCUCUUAUGUAAUUAAUUACUGAAACAAAUUUUAUUCUUUAAAAGAGAAAUUUAUGAUCUUGUGAAUUUUUUUUUCUUCUUUCUAUUUAUAUUAUUUAACUAUUAUAUAAAAUUCUAUAUAUCGUACUUAACUAUUUAUAUUUUAUACAUUAUAUUUUACGAAUCUAAAAAACAUUGUCGAGUAUAACUUUUUUGUAAAUUUUUCUUUCUAAUUUUUUUUUUAUUUUUAUGUUAUAUAAAAUUAUUUUUUAUUAUGAAUCUUUUGAUUGUUGUUUAAAUGUAAUGUAUUAAUUUUAAAAAAUUUUAACUUUUAUUUUUUUUCAUUUUUGAUUUUCAAUAAAAAUUGACUAAUUCUGCCUAUAGUGACUCAUAAACUGAAAUAAUGAUCACACUGACAUUUAUCAAGCCAGAACUGAAGAGCAGAAACUGUGGCACAGAUGCACAAAGCCCUGUUGUCAAUUAAGGACAGGGAUGCUCUACCAAACAACUGUUUUUGAAAUUAGUCCUGUGUGUUAACAAGGAAAGUCUAAAAUCUUACCCACAAGUUUGAUGUCUGUGUUAUCAACCAACCACUGUGCCCCAUCCUUCCUAAAUCCUGUGAAGUUUGAAGCAAACUCCUUUUUGUGCAUCAGCCCCCUGAACAUGAAAGUUGACAUACAUUUUACUAUCAUGAAAUCAUUUGUAAGUUUCAGCAAAUCAAUUCUGGUUCAACAAAAUCUUGAGUUUGAGAGAGAGGCUCUUUUUGUUUUAAUGGAAAGAAAAUACAUUUCAUUAAACUUUAAACAGCCCCUGAAACAGAAAUUGCAAUAUUGAAAUUAAAAGGGGUCACUUCUUAACUCACAUGUGAACCCAUUUACAACAACCUACUUUUUUUUUUCUUUUUUGAAAAUUUAUGAGUGGAAUUCCUAGACAAAAAGAGAUAUUGAGACAACAGGAAAAACCUUUGUAAUAACAAGAGUAGAGGCAUAGAGCACAUCUUUCAGCAUGGAUUAUCUUCUUAUACCUUCAUGUGGGUAAUUGAUUUAACACAUCGAAGUAUUUCAUUUCUAUGUUUAUAGUGAUUGCCCCAGUAGGUUUUAAGAUAUUAAGGAUUUGGAUAAUUCAGUCAAAAUAUGCUCAAAAACUACCAGCUCAGUUUAGGAUGUUGAUUGCAACAGCACCAAAAACACUACACUUGACUGACAUGAUAUUCACAAGCCAAUGGGGAAAAAAAUGAAAUUCAUUGACUAGUUGCCCAGGUCUUUUUCUUCUUAUUCUUCUUCUUGAAGCCUAAACGACUCUGUCCCGUUAACUCUUUUACUAUUAGUCUAUGAAUUGUACCUUAAACAUGUUUCUUGCUAGAAUUAACUGUCAUAAGUGCUAGUCUUGUAACAUCAUAUAAACAGGCUUCUGUGAAAGUUCAAAAAUGGAAGAACUGCAAACAUGUCAAUAAUGUGAUGCCAAUUCUGGGGGACAAAGCACGAGUUAAAGAACAUAUCAAGCAGAGUGUCAAAAUCACUUAUUUACAUAUUGACAUGCUUCAAAAACAUUAUGAAAAAGGAGCCCACCGUACUAUAUUCAUUUUGUUCAUAUGUUAAUAAAGACAAGUAAAUAGAUCUAAUUACAUUAAUGUUUACCUGUCAGUGUUAAGUGUUCUGAAAAGCACACGAUGUACUCCCCUGGGAAUAUUCAAGGACUUCAUAACUUCAGCUGUAGAAAGCAUACUUUAGUUACUACAGCUAAACGCACUUAAAAUUAAGAAGGAUUAAAUAUGAUAAACAAAAUUUCCCAACUUCCCAUCGUAAAAAAGGGGGAAAGCAGAGUUAAUCUACUUUAUGAUGGAGAAGAUUUUUUUUUUUUGGAAAGUUAAGAGUUCAUUCAUAAAGAAAGGAUGUCCAUGUACAUACAGAGGAGGGUCAAAGGCUGGAAAGAGCACAGUCUUAGCCCUCUGAUCCCAUACUGGUAGACAAAAACACCAAUAACCAACCCUGCCCUUCAAACCAUUCACCUAAGCAUUUACAUAUAGCCCUUAGCCAACACUUCCCACCAGCAUAAAAGAUUACAAACCAUAGAAAAAGUCAGUAAGGCAGGGAAACAUAACCAGCGUGCCUGUUUCCUUCUCUUGCUGCACCAAGCAAAAAAUUCUAGAACAACAAAAUUCAAACUCCCAGAUUUACAAAGACCAAAAACCCCUUGUUCCCCACCCAAUCAAAAGUGAAUCCUAGGCACCGAAGACCACCACCGGUAAGGCAGACUCCAGGACCACAUUAAACCCCUGUACACACAGAUCAAGAAUCUUAAAACAUAAAAGAGCCAUCUACCCAGUGAGAAAGUGAAGCAAAGCAGACAAAGCUCUAUUUUAUGAUGGAGAAGAUCUAUUUUAUGAUGUUCUGCAACAAAACUCUAGGCGGGGCUCGGAGAUAUCCAUGAUUAUGAUAUCAGACCAGUUUUUUUGCGAGACCAGUUAUUACUACUUUAUACUGAAAUUAGUAGAAUUGACAGGUAUUGCUGCAUAUGAAUCCCAGAAAAAUGAAUGAUUCUAGAGUGAGCUGAAGUGACAUUUAGAUCCAAAAGUUUAAAGAAACUAGAAAAUGAAGUAAACAGAUUUCCGAUUAUAAAAGGGGAAACUACACUAGGAACACUUACCAGUAAUGUUCUUUUCUCUUGGAACAUCAACUACUAGAGCAGGACCUAUACAAAGAAUAAAACACGUAUGAUCAUCAACAAUAUCCACGAAAAGAAUGCAGAAACUGAUUAACAACACAAAACAUCAGAGCGAGAAAGGCAAAAAAGGGUAUCAAUCAAAUCCCCAGCGCUAGCUAAUCAUCUAUGAAAAAUCAAGCAAAAGAAAUUAAGAACGCUGGUAAUUUGCUGGUCAUUUGAAGACCCCUCCUUGUGAUGAGCUAAAUUUCAAAAAAUGUAAACACCAAGUUUAAGAAGCACAAAAAAAACUGCAAAAAGAAACAAUGAAUAGCUUGCUUAUGGUACCAAUUUACCGUUAAGCGUUUGCAGGCUAAGAGUGGUAACAUCAAACCCCUCCUCAUAGUACUUCUGGAAGAAAUGGCUGGGCGCAUCGACGUGAGUGCCAGUGUGGGUUCCCAGCUUAAACUGAGAAACAUUUGCUAUGGAGCCAUUUCUAAUGCUGGAAACAAGCCAAAUGAACUGACCAAGCCCCUUUUGGGAGUCAAAGGUUGGCAACUCAGAGGUGAUUUUGUGUGUUAUAUCAAAGAUUUUGCCAUUACCAUAAGCCACAGCAGCACCGGAGAGGAUGUUUACGGUGAGUAUCCCGGCACAAAGUAGCAGCAGGAGGUUAUGUUUGUUCAUGGUACUAGCCAUGGUAACCAUGGUGUAACUAGUAAGUAGUAAGUUGUAGAGGAAGAAAACCAAUAGAAUGAUGAAAUGAAAAGGACGUGAUUGGUGGAGUGUUGCAGUUCAAGUCAAUGAUUAAAGCCAACUACAUAUAAUCAUACACUUUUUUUUUAUCUUACGAAUGCCUCGGAAUAGAUCGGCCAGCCAUAUCAGAUCCAAGGGCUAGAUUAAUUUAUUUGGAUAGAAAAAGAAAAGGUUGUGCCAUCAAACAUCGAAAGGCAAUAUUUUGCCAUCUGAAUUUGGGGAGAUAAGUCUAAAGGUCCAAUCCUGGCCGCCCUCGUGGGUUCAAUUGUUAAGUGUUCACUGUUUCUUUUAGCAAAUUUUUUUAUAUAAAAGAAAUAGUAAUAUAAACAAAAUUAUGGACUUUUGACAAUUUGUCUGUUAUUCAGCCAACAAGCCUAAUCCAAAAUUUCUUACACAAUCAUAAAUGAUGGAUCCCAUUUGAAUCACACAUUUAGACAUGCACAGCACGUGUUUGCGAUAUUUACAAAAAAAAUAUUAAAUAUAACUUUUAUUUAAUAGUAAUGAUAAUAAUGUUUUUAUUUAAUUUAUUUUACAUUAUAAAAUUUCUUGACAUCUUUAUAAUCAAAUCUAAAUGAGUAUAGUAAUAAACUUUUUGAAGUCUUUUGAGAUUAUGUAAAUCUCUCUUAUUAAUUUUAAGUACAAUUGUUUUAUUAAAUUAAUAUAGUUAUUUGAAUACAUACAUAUCAAUUAUUCCAACUUGUUUAUAAAAUUUAAAAAUAUGUCCAAAGUUCUUAAUUUUGGCCGCCCUCAUGGGUUUGACUUUUUAGUCUUUAGCAAUCCCUUUUUUAUAAAAGAAAUACUAAUGUUGUUCUCGAUGCCGAUACUCUUUGUAAUUUGAAGAUUUGGUUGUCCUUGUAUGGCUAGCGUGUAGUGUUUCAACAGGAAUCUAACAAAAUAAAAUAAUAAAAUAAAAUUUUUAAUUGAUUUUUUUUAAUUUAAUAAAAAUAUUUAGUCAAUCACUUUUAACAUCUUUUAAAUUCACUUAUAUAUAAAAAGAUAAGUCACCCAGGUCAAAAAAUUAUGAAUUUUUCUAGGCAAAAAGUGUUGUAAUGAAAUCCAUGGCUUUGAUUGGCAAUCCACUCAAGGAUGUCGAACUUAAACACAAAUCUGAAUCACAUAAAUGUAUCCAAAAAGAUUUGUUUUCUUCAAUGCUCAUGCAAUUUCUGACAACCAAUAUCCGAAAGUCUGCAAAACUCAGCCAAUAUAUGAAGAAGCUAAAGCAAGGUAUGGCCCAUAUAAACAAGAGCAGGAAGGAGACGCACAUAUAAACACAACCCAUAUACUGACACACAUAUUUAUCUUUCAUAGAGAUGGCUUUUCCAAUUAUGGAUCUGUCAAAAUUAUUUCGGGAUGUCAAGAAGACUGAUAGACAUCAUUGCCGACAAUUGCAAGCAGUGACCAAAUCUAGCCAUGAUAUUCAGAAACACUACCAAAUAAGUGUAUGUUCCUAAUGUCAUCAAUCAAAAAGCUAAACAGAUGCAUUACAAGAAAAGUGUACUUCAAUGCAACUAAAUUUCUGCACUACAUCCUCUCUACAAGUGUGGAACAGCCUUCAGUUCAAACUCAUCAACUCUUUAUUUGUCUUAUUCCGAUCAACAACACCCCUUAGCGCUAUCAUUUUACCCUGCAAAAAUACAUGUUGAGUCUUCCACCAUAACUAACUAGAGAAACUGGUGUAAAAAAAUAUAGAUCGUUUGUUUUACCUAACAUAAGAAGCAGUUGAGCGUGUAGCAUUUGCAGAAGUUAAGCCUGCAGUAGCAAUUCCAUGCCAUUAGCGUGAAACGCAUGCUUUGCUUUCAAUAGUGGAAACAAUUACAAAACACAGGACUUACAAGGAAUAUAUAUCAUUUGAUGAGAAUGCAUCUUGUUGGCGAUCCUUCAGCACCAAGCAACCUUAAAGGUAAGCAAUGAACCGAAUAUAUCCCAGGUAGGAUGUCAUCAAGUUUUAGGCCUUCCACAAGAAUGAUAUCCUGAAGCAGAUAACAAGCAUUAGCAAUGUUUGGGUGUUUGCUGUUUAUACCACCUUUUUCUCCUUGACUCAGAGUACUGAGUAACAAAACUGAGGACUUUAUGUUACCAAACCUAUACACAUUAAAUAACUUGAUUUCAAGCUUCAUUAACAUUUCACAUUUAGAAGACUAGAACCAAGACAUGUGAGAGGAAAAGGGAAACAGAAACCCUAAUCUUGGAGCAGAUAUAUCAUUGUCAACUAGUUAAUCAAUUUUAAUGUGGUUAAAUCCAUUGGAAAAGCCAUACCAAUUUUUACUGUGAUCAACUCUGGCAUAGUUAGAGCUUAAAACACCAACAUCCCAAGAAGAAAAUGAACAAUUAGACUUAAGGGUUGCAAUUUAAUGAGCAGAGACCUAAGAAACGUCCCCAACACUUUGUUCAUCCAAGAAACAUGAUGGUUGGUUGAGUCCCCAAUAACAGUCAGGUCAAACUAAGGAAUGAGAACGAACAAACCAUUAAGUUGCUAAUUUCACAGUACUACAUUGAAAAUAAUUUAAAGAUGGAUUUUGCAAAUGAGUAGCCUAAGGGCACCUCUUUAAGGUUAAUUGAAAUACUAUUUGUAGUAUUAUUUUUAUAUUAAAUAGUAAUUGACAGUCAAUAUUAUGAAUUCCAACACAUUAGAAGAAAAUAUUGCUUAAUAUAAUAACCUUAAAAAUUGCCCUUAGCUCAUUCAUUAGCAAAAUGCUUGAAAGAGAUACUCCUUAAUAUAAGCCAGGAAAUCAAACUUGGCCAAGAAGACAUUAUGGAAUCAAGUAAUAGAAACACACACGGUAAUAAAUGUACACAAAGUAGUUCGCUGCAAUUCACGAACUUAAGAAGCAGGAAAUUACAUUUGACUCAGCAAUAAUAUGAAGUGGUCAUACUGGACAAUCAAGACUUUCAAAGAUAAAUGGAAAAUUAAUUGCCAAAACUAAAACACAGAAGAUAGUUAACACAUUAGAUGAUGAUUUCUUACCCGGCCUUCUAGAAAAACAAGAUGAGAUGGAAUCAGAUCAUCAAAGGCUGCAACAGAUAAGUAAUCAAUUCCUGCAUUUCAGAAUAGAGACAGACAAAUCAGCAAAACUACAAGAGUUCUGUGUUGAGCUAACAAUAACCAGAACUAAUUUAAAGUUUCGUAAUUUGAUUAAAAGUAACCUUUUUUUUUUAGAAUUUCUGAAGGCAACAUCUUACCAACAAAUUUGAUGUCAGUGUUUUUAACCAACCAUUCUGCCCCAUCCUUCAUAAAUCCCACAUAGCUUGUGUCAAACUCUUUCUUAAACAUUAGCCGCCUGAAAGUUGACAAAUUUAAGCUCAGAUUUUGCAUUCUUUGAACUAUAAAAGCUGCUCAUCAGAUUCCAUGGAGUAUUUAUGCAAUCACCUGUCGGUAUUUAAUGUUCUGAAAAGAACUCUACGUAUUCCCUUGGGUAUUUUCAAAGACUCCAUAACCUCAGCUAUAAUAAAGAAAAAUAGACAUAACUAUAAACUUAAAUACUAUGAAAAAACAUGAAAAUUAUGAAAAAGAAAGUGCAAAGGUACGGACCGGUUAUAUUUUUGUCCCUUGGAACAUCUACCAGCAGUGCAGGACCUAUAAGGGGAAAAUCCCCCCAACAAAGAUAAAAAGGAGAAUCAGAAAUCAGUUAUCAAAUAAGUGAAUUAUUUUUAAAAAUAUUAUUUACCGUUAAGUACUUCCAAAUCAAGAGUGUCCACAUCGAAGCCGGCAUCGAAGUACCGAUCAAUGACGUGGCCGGGAGCGUCGAGGUGCGUGCCGGUGUGAGUGGGAAGUUUCAUCUCGGAAUUAUUAGCUAGGGAACCGUUCUUCAUGCUUUUAGGCAACCAAAGGAACUGUCCUAUGCCGUCUUUGGAUUCCCACGACGGCAUGUCGGCGGUGUACCUAUGGCUGAUGUCGAAUAUUCUGCCAUUACCGUAGACUUCGCGACGGAUGGGAAUCAGAUUCUCGUCUCCUCCCGAGAGGCCGCAGUCGGUGGUGGAAUCCGUCCCGGGGAUGGAAGGGUAUGCGGUGGUGGCGGUGGAGAUGAAGGCGGAGGAGAGGAGUAGUAGGAGGAAGAGGGGAGUCAUUUUGGGAGUGAGGGAGAGGGAACGUAGAGUUAAGUGAACUGAGUUUGACGAGGAUUCGUAAGAACUAUCUGCUACCGGUUGAAAUCGUGCGCUAGUAUGAUUGGCCACGCGCUUUUUAGGCAGCGUGACUGUUUACGCUACAUAGGCUGACUUUUGAAAGGAGAGGUUUAUCCGUUUGUGGAUGACGAAAUUAAUAUAAAAUGAGAGAUACUGGUUUAGUUGAAUUUGAUCUUCCAUAUCUUCAAAACCAAUAAUUUGAUCUCAUUAUUUAUCUUUUAAUAAAAAAAACUCUAGUAUAUAUAAAAUUUAACUAAAUCUUUUAAUUAUAAAAUAACAGUUUAUCUAAUUCAAUACCAUAAACACAUCACACUAUUAAUUUAUUGAUAGCCAAUUCUUCUCAUUAUUUGAGACAAACCACUUUGCUUACAUUACAUGCUACUAAUUUAGGACCAGCCGGCUCUAAUUUCCUUCCAUACCACUUUGAUUGUCUCACUGAUCACCCCCAGACUCCAGGGUUAUUAUUAAUUCCUGCAACAGAUUUAAAGUCUAAUUUGCAUAAGCAUAGCAAAUCAUCAUAGCUAGCAGCUACUACGACCAAAUCUCUGGUAUAACUCCGAAAGACUUGCAUUUGCAUCAUUUCAUGAGAAUGCAUCUUAUGGGUGAUCCUUCAGCGCCAAGCAGCCUAAGAGGUAAGCAGUGGACAGAAUAUAUUCCAAGUGGCACAUCAUCGAGCUUUAAGCCUUCCACAAGAAUAAUUUCCUGGAGCAGCAGAUGGAAUAAUGUUAAUGACUCAGAGUUUUGACACCCCUUUUCAGCAGAUUAAAAUUCCAUGUUCCUUUUCUGUUGUCUUGAAAACAACUUUGGCAGCUAGUUUUAAAACCAUGGAUGAAGAUUCAAGGGGGGAAAACGUAAAAUAACAUCUGCUAAUUAACCAAAUAUGCAUCAUACUGUAGCAAUGUUCUUACCCUGCUCUCAAAAAAUUCAAGAUGAGCUGAAACCAGAUGAUCAUGGGCUGCAACGGAUAAGAAAUCGAUUCCUACAUUUCAAGAUAGACAAAUAAGUCAGCGCGAGUAGCAAUAUCUAAGUACAGUAAUCAGAUACCACAAGAGGAUUUUCUCUAAUCUCCCAAAUAUGUCCAAAUUAAAAAGAAGAAACAUCCUUGGCAGUCAAAAAAUUAUAUCAAGUACUGCACUUAUGUCCUAAUAUGAAGUUAAGACUUAAAGAACAUUUUGCAAGUUUUAACGUAGAGACAUCCCAGCAAUUCGCAUCCAUCACUCUGCACAUAUCUCACAUUUUUUUAAAACAAAAGCUAUAUAUCUUACCCACAAGUUUGAUAUCAGUGUUCUUCACCAACCAUCUUGCCCCAUCCGUUGUAAAUCCAACAUAGUUUGAGUCAUACUCCUUCGUAAACAUAAGCCGCCUGAAAUUGAAAAUUUUUUAGCCAGAACUAUCAUUUACCCUCAGUAAUGUAAUCUCUGUUCUUCAAACAAGCUGAAUGUACAGAUAAACGGACUGCUGUGCCAUGGAGUAACCAUUUUCACUAAAAGGAGCUAGGAUGCUAAAUAGAGACCGGAUGGUAGAAUGAAUGAAUGAAUGGAACCAUCCUAAUAAACUGGAAAAAUCAUACUAGUAAGCAUGUUUGGUACAGGGAAUAGCUAAGCUAUUCCUUUUCUAUUCCCAUGUUUUCUCUUUACCUCCGUUUGGUAAGUAAUGUCACAAGGAAUAGCUAUUAUUUAGUAUUAGCUAUUCCUUAAAAUGGGAUAAAACUCAGGUUUAACCAAACUCAAGCUCUUCCAUGAGUUUUGUUAUUCC
Molecule: long non-coding RNA, 35955 nt
Filed under: Theobroma cacao (cacao)
Lineage: Eukaryota; Viridiplantae; Streptophyta; Magnoliopsida; Malvales; Malvaceae
Description: long non-coding RNA (TCAC_LNC000757)
Source: RNAcentral